GAUGAACGCUGACAGAAUGCUUAACACAUGCAAGUCGACUGGAAUUCUCUUCGGAGUUAGUACGGUGGCGGACGGGUGAGUAAUACAUGGGAAUCUACCUAAAAGUCUGGGAUAACUAUUAGAAAUAGUAGCUAAUACCAGAUAUACCCUGAGGGGGAAAGGUUCACUGCUUUUAGAUGAGCUCAUGUUAGAUUAGUUUGUUGGUGGGGUAAUGGCCUACCAAGACGAUGAUCUAUAGUUGGUCUGAGAGGAUGAUCAGCCACACUGGAACUGAGAUACGGUCCAG
This 286-nucleotide ribosomal RNA is filed under the name uncultured bacterium. RNAcentral's name for it is "partial 16S ribosomal RNA". It matches the Rfam family "Bacterial small subunit ribosomal RNA", at positions 28 to 334 of the family's 1533-position model. The record is from RNAcentral.